Molecule: non-coding RNA, 73 nt
Organism: Chaetura pelagica (chimney swift)
Lineage: Eukaryota; Metazoa; Chordata; Aves; Apodiformes; Apodidae
Source: Rfam
GCUGAAGUAGCUCAGCUGGGAGAGCGUUAGACUGAAGAUCUAAAGGUCCCUGGUUCAAACCUGGGCUUCAGCA